This 315-nucleotide ribosomal RNA is filed under the name Escherichia coli. Its description in RNAcentral is "bacterial SSU rRNA". It matches the Rfam family "Bacterial small subunit ribosomal RNA", at positions 20 to 331 of the family's 1533-position model. Lineage: Bacteria; Pseudomonadati; Pseudomonadota; Gammaproteobacteria; Enterobacterales; Enterobacteriaceae. The record is from RNAcentral.
UGGCUCAGGACCGAACGCUGGCGGCAGGCCUAACACAUGCAAGUCGAACGGUAACAGGAAGCAGCUUGCUUCUUUGCUGACGAGUGGCGGACGGGUGAGUAAUGUCUGGGAAACUGCCUGAUGGAGGGGGAUAACUACUGGAAACGGUAGCUAAUACCGCAUAACGUCGCAAGACCAAAGAGGGGGACCUUCGGGCCUCUUGCCAUCGGAUGUGCCCAGAUGGGAUUAGCUAGUAGGUGGGGUAACGGCUCACCUAGGCGACGAUCCCUAGCUGGUCUGAGAGGAUGACCAGCCACACUGAACUGAGACACGUCC